Non-coding RNA from Miniopterus natalensis, 1626 nucleotides. Lineage: Eukaryota; Metazoa; Chordata; Mammalia; Chiroptera; Miniopteridae. The record is from RefSeq and is a predicted model, not a curated record.
CCGCCCGCCUGCCUCUGCGGGGCGGCGCAGGACUCGGGCUCUGGCCGCGCGUGGAGGCGGUGUAAGGAUUAAAGGACGAGUUGAGAGAGAGGUUUGCGUAGGCCGCGCGACGGACACGCUCCCAGCCCGAGCCCCGGAGCGGGCGCAGGCUUGGGAGAGGAGCGCGGGCCGUGCCUCCCGUGGUUCACCCGGCACGGCUGUGAGCCCCGAAAACCUGGGAGCGGACUUACCUCUGUGCGGGCUCGCCUCGGCCGCACCCCCCGCCACACACACACACCCCCGCGCGGACGGGGCGUGCUCAUGGGGCCUACGUGGACGUCUUGAUUGCCUUAAAAGAGCUGAGAUCAAGCCAAGAUUAACUAUAAAGGUAGUGAAACUCCAAGGAAGAUUAAUUCUCAACCCCAGCAAGGUCAGAGCCAGGGUUAAGAAGGUGGAACCCUGGGACAAGAUGAAGACAUCUGGUUGAAGCAUUUGGGAACUUGAGAACUCCAUGUCCUCCUGAACUUUUGAGUCUUCGGAAGUAGUCUCUCCUUCUUAUUAAAAGCAAGGACACACCCUCUUCUCCUGCUCAAAGAAGAGGGUGUCUGUUUUUCAAGAGCAUGCACACCUCCUCAGGAUCUACCCCCACCCCUUCUACAAAUCGCCAGACCUAUAGCUAGGGUCACAUUACAACAUAACUGAGCCAGAAGAGUGCUAAUCUGACUGAGGGAGGAAAGGGACUUUAAGACUUAGCCAACAUUUACCAACAAGAGCUAGGAUAAAGUCACCACGAUCCUGGCCUAUAGAGAGAUGCAGAGAUAAGACAGCAGAACAUGGAAUUCCCAGUAACAACAGAGGUGGGCAGUCAGCCAGGGUUUUUCUCUAUCUACACAUUUAAAAGAAAGCCAAGAGAGAUGAAUGGAAUUCCAAGGACAGCCUCUCCAAUAAAACUCAAAGUCUGUCUCUGUCAGCUCAGGCCUCCCUAACAAAUACCAUUGACUGGGUGGCUUAGCAAAACAGAAAUUUAUCUCUCGCAGUUCUGGAGGUUGGGAAACCCAAGGUCAGGUGCCAGCAUGGCAGAUUUCAUUCUGAGGCCUCUUCUCUUGGCUUGUUCAUGGCUGCAAUUUCACUGGGCUCACAUGACCUCUCCUUUGUGCACAUGUGGGCAGAGAGAGGGAGCAAGCUCUCUGCGUCUCUUCACAUAACACCAUUAAUCCCAUCAUGAGAGCCCUGCCUUCAUGACCUCAUCUGAUAGUAAUCACCUCCCAAAGGACGCAUCUCUAAAUAUCCUCACUUUGGGGGUUAAGGGUUCAACAUAUGUAUUGGGCAAAGAUACACUCAGAUCAUAACAUAAUGCUUUGCCCCACUUUUGGACUGCAGCCAAUUUGGUAAUCUGAAGCCCAUUGACUGGAGGAGAGGCUGGGUUCCAGCAGGAUGGACCCUGCAGCCCUAGGAUGAUUUCCCAGCCCUAGGGGAGCAUUUCCUUGGGUGCUCUAUCUUAUCCCCAGAAGUAGUGACUGUUCCUCAUAUUUGCUAUUCUUGUGUUCUUUAAAGUGAUCUUUAUUUUUUACUACCCAAUCCCUUAUUACUCCAUUGCCCUGUUAGAGUUAAUACUUCUUUAUAUUAAACUCUCUGUAUUCGACUUAA